Long non-coding RNA from Magnolia sinica, 212 nucleotides. RefSeq lists it as uncharacterized. The transcript is spliced from 3 exons. NCBI's taxonomy places the organism in Eukaryota, Viridiplantae, Streptophyta, Magnoliopsida, Magnoliales, Magnoliaceae. The record is from RefSeq and is a predicted model, not a curated record.
CAGUUGGUUCUUAUUCUAACACAGGGGUUCAAAGAAAACUGAAAAUGGAUUAUCAGGCUGCCAGUAAAAAAGAGAAGUCACUGAAGAGCUCUACCAAACAGCCGAGGCAGCAACCACCAGCAAGAAACAGCUCAGCGGCUUUUGUUUAUUCAGGAAAAACUUCAAGGGGAGUCGCAGACACAACUGAAACGAUGGGGAAAAUGGCCAUCAGC